RNAcentral lists this long non-coding RNA (1174 nucleotides) under Oryctolagus cuniculus (rabbit). Its description in RNAcentral is "lncRNA (ENSOCUG00000037258.1)". Lineage: Eukaryota; Metazoa; Chordata; Mammalia; Lagomorpha; Leporidae. The record is from RNAcentral.
GUACGCUAUUUCUUAACACAGUGCCUUGUGUAACUACUACCAAUUAAUUGAAGUAAUCGUGAAGAGUUCCUUUCCAUUAGAGGGAGUUUCUUCAGGGAUUAAUCAAUCAUUUCCCAGGAGAUGGGAAGAAAAAAAAAAGGCAGGAUUGAAAAUGCUUCCAAAUUGCAAAACAUUUCCCAUAUUCUGCUGCUUGCUUUAAUUUUUUUUUUUUGAUGUAAGCCUUUAGCAGCCCCUAGACAAACAAUGGGUCACAUUGCACAAACACAGCCACAGUGAGAGCUUCCGGGUCAGACCGCUAAGUCGGGCACUGGAGAAUUCCACCAGCGGCACAGACCUCGGGCAGGAGGAAGGGGUUCCACAAGAGGGAGGCAUCGUUUACUCAAGCUAAUUGCAGGCUGAAAGACAAAAGCUGUAACCUCAGACACACCCACAACUGAUACAUCGUCUCUGCAAAUUGAGAAACUGGUAAUUCAACUAUCAUGGAGCCUCACCUUGUGUUCCACCCAUUACCUGGUGUGAAAUGGCCCAAGGCUGGGUCCCUGACACCUCUUUUUAUCCUGCCUCAUUCACUUCUCAUUUGCGGCAAGCACUGAUGGCAAAGCUACCAGGUGACAGCUACCUGGCCCCAGCCGUUCUGUGCAUGCUGCUCUGAGCCCAGACCAGCCCCUGUGGUGUUGUCACAGUGCUUCCACAGCAUAACUAGACUGACGACGACGGAAACACAAACACUCCCAACGCGCUGCAGCAGUUCGGAGGGCAUGGUUGCCCUUGACAAGAAUGGUGUUCCUGCUUCAGGGGUAUAAAACCAAGUGCAGGGGAUUAAAACAUGCACGGAGAUGAGGAAGCAGGGAUUUCAUUUGUCUGCGAAGGGAAGGCGAGAGAGAAGGCAGGAGCAGCGUGAAGAUGUGUCUCCUCAUUUCGUCACUAGAAGCAUUUUUACAUUUGGUUAGCUAGAUGGCACUUUAUUUUAAAGCUUUGCAAUCAAAGUCGUCGAUUGCAUGAUUAAGCAUGAAAUGCCAGUAAAACUGACUUUCAUCUUGUGAUUUUUUUUAAAUCCCAGGUUACUCCUUAGCCAUCAAUAAGAGCAAAUCUGUAAACAACACCAACAAAAUGUAAAUGUAGGAAGCGACCUCGCAUGAGGACGGCCACUGUAAGUGUUAAGUGAACCGUCACA